CCUGUACUGCAGAGCAAGAGCCUGUAUCAAAAAAAAACAACAACAACAAACCAAACCAAAAAAGAAGCUAUAAUUAUGUAUAAAAUGUGGAAAGGCAGGAUGGUGUGAAGAAGCCAUUUCAAGUUGGAGAAGAACUGAAAAUGAAGGCAAGGCCAUUGGAAUGAGCCCAGAAUUGAUAUAUUAUAGAGACUGACCCAUCUACCAUACAAGCUCUGGUAGCUCUUGCUAGUUAUUAAAAUAUUAUAUAUUAUA
Heterocephalus glaber (naked mole-rat) is the source of this 252-nucleotide long non-coding RNA. RefSeq lists it as uncharacterized. The record is from RefSeq and is a predicted model, not a curated record. Lineage: Eukaryota; Metazoa; Chordata; Mammalia; Rodentia; Bathyergidae.